Molecule: ribosomal RNA, 518 nt
Filed under: uncultured Paraglomus
Lineage: Eukaryota; Fungi; Glomeromycota; Glomeromycetes; Paraglomerales; Paraglomeraceae
Description: SSU rRNA
Rfam family: Eukaryotic small subunit ribosomal RNA
Source: RNAcentral
AGCAGCCGCGGUAAUUCCAGCUCCGAUAGCGUAUAUUAAAGUUGUUGCAGUUAAAAAGCUCGUAGUUGAAUUUCAGGCCUGGCUGGACGGUCCGCCCUUCGGGUGAGUACUGUCUGUGGUCGGGUCCUACCUUCUGGCGAAGCGUCAUGGCCUUAACCGGCCGUGGCGGGGAACCAGGACUUUUACUGUGAAAAAUUAGAGUGUUCAAAGCAGGCAAUCGCUUGGAUACAUUAGCAUGGAAUAAUGGAAUAGGACAAUGGUUCUAUUUGUUGGUUUCUAGGACCGUUGUAAUGAUUAAUAGGGAUAGUUGGGGGCAUUAGUAUUCAAUUGUCAGAGGUGAAAUUCUUGGAUUUAUUGAAGACUAACUACUGCGAAAGCAUUUGCCAAGGAUGUUUUCAUUAAUCAAGAACGAAAGUUAGGGGAUCGAAGACGAUCAGAUACCGUCGUAGUCUUAACCAUAAACUAUGCCGACUAGGAAUCGGGCGAUGUUGAAAAAAUGACGCGCUCGGCACCUCAUG